CGCGGCCUAUCAGCUUGUUGGUGGGGUAAUGGCCUACCAAGGCGGCGACGGGUAGCCGGCCUGAGAGGGUGUACGGCCACAUUGGGACUGAGAUACGGCCCAGACUCCUACGGGAGGCAGCAGUGGGGAAUAUUGCACAAUGGGCGCAAGCCUGAUGCAGCGACGCCGCGUGGGGGAUGAAGGCCUUCGGGUUGUAAACUCCUUUCGCUAGGGACGAAGCUUUGUUGUGACGGUACCUAGAUAAGAAGCGCCGGCUAACUACGUGCCAGCAGCCGCGGUAAUACGUAGGGUGCGAGCGUUGUCCGGAAUUACUGGGCGUAAAGGGCUCGUAGGUGGUUUGUCGCGUCGUCUGUGAAAUUCUGGGGCUUAACUCCGGGCGUGCAGGCGAUACGGGCAUAACUUGAGUGCUGUAGGGGUAACUGGAAUUCCUGGUGUAGCGGUGAAAUGCGCAGAUAUCAGGAGGAACACCGAUGGCGAAGGCAGGUUACUGGGCAGUUACUGACGCUGAGGAGCGAAAGCAUGGGUAGCGAACAGGAUUAGAUACCCUGGUAGUCCAUGCCGUAAACGGUGGGCGCUAGGUGUGAGGGUCUUUCUACGACUUUCGUGCCGUAGCUAACGCAUUAAGCGCCCCGCCUGGGGAGUACGG
This 646-nucleotide ribosomal RNA is filed under the name uncultured bacterium. RNAcentral describes it as "bacterial SSU rRNA". It matches the Rfam family "Bacterial small subunit ribosomal RNA", at positions 232 to 885 of the family's 1533-position model. The record is from RNAcentral.